RNAcentral lists this long non-coding RNA (208 nucleotides) under Trifolium pratense (red clover). RNAcentral's name for it is "long non-coding RNA (TPRA_LNC011033)". The record is from RNAcentral. Lineage: Eukaryota; Viridiplantae; Streptophyta; Magnoliopsida; Fabales; Fabaceae.
UAUAUUAUAAUGGAGUACAAGGGGUACUCGAACCCUUACAAUUCAAAGUCAGAAAUUAAAAGCUUUGAAUACAACUCAAAGGGUCGUGACACCAGUCUUGAAAUGAUAAACUAGAGUUUCGGCCAUACCGACUACUAAACCAAACCCAAGAACUGAAUUUAAUGUCAUCCAAAAGAAGAAGAGCAUUUGGGAGAGCUCCCUUAAAAAU